GCCUAAUACAUGCAAGUGGAACGCAUGAUUGAUACCGUAGCUUGCUACACCAUUAAUCAUGAGUCGCGAACGGGUGAGUAACGCGUAGGGUAACCUGCCUACUAGCGGGGGAUAACUAUUGGAAACGAUAGCUAAUACCGCAUAAGAGUUUUUUAACACAUGUUAGAAAUUUAAAAGGAGCAAAUGCUUCACUAGUAGAUGGACCUGCGUUGUAUUAGCUAGUGGUAAGGUAACGGCUUACCAAGGCGACGAUACGUAGCCGACCCUGAGAGGGUGAUCGGCCACACUAGGACUGAGACACGGCCCAGACUCCUACGGGAGGCAGCAGUAGGGAAUCUUCGGCAAUGGGGGGAACCCUGACCGAGCAACGCCGCGUGAAGUGAAGAAGGUUUUCGGAUCGUAAAGCUCUGUUGUAAGAGAAGAACGUUGAGUAGAGUGGAAAGUUACUCAAGUGACGGUAUCUUACCAGAAAGGGACGGCUAACUACGUGCCAGCCGCCGC
This 501-nucleotide ribosomal RNA is filed under the name uncultured bacterium. Its description in RNAcentral is "bacterial SSU rRNA". It matches the Rfam family "Bacterial small subunit ribosomal RNA", at positions 46 to 518 of the family's 1533-position model. The record is from RNAcentral.